Odocoileus virginianus texanus is the source of this 896-nucleotide non-coding RNA. The record is from RefSeq and is a predicted model, not a curated record. NCBI's taxonomy places the organism in Eukaryota, Metazoa, Chordata, Mammalia, Artiodactyla, Cervidae.
GGUCCCUCUGAGGUAGGGAACAUGGCCUCGCCUCUGAUGAGCAAAGUCAGCAGCAGGACACUUGGUCCCUCUCCAGGGGAGGAAUGGAAUCAAAAGAAGAGGCAGGAAGAGAGGACACUUUCUGAGUACGUCCUACACCAGACAACCAAGCCCUUCUAAAGCAUCUCAUUUAAAUUCAUAGUAUCCUAGAAGGGCCUGGUAUUUGCCUGAUUCAUCUCAUGCUUCACAAAGCCCAGUGGCCCUAAAUGCUGCAUGAACAAACAAAUGAGUGAAUUGAUCCUUACGGAAGAAGGGAUUGGGGGACAGACUGAGGAAUCCAUAGACAGCCUCACCUAAUGACUGAUGACAGACCACCAGACACCUGUGAGUCCACCUUGAGACUGGAGACACUAAGAAUGCCCAUCAGAGGAUCAAGGAGCCCUGUACCGCCCCUUCCCUACCUGGGUUAGCUGAGCCCUCUGUCCUCCUGCUGAUGGAACCAAGGAUGCAUUCCCUUUCUUCUUUAUUCUGGGCUGACUCGUGUGUCGACUUCCAUGGGGUCUCCUCCAUGGGACCCUGUCCUUCCCUAGCCUGCCUGGGGGGUAAGUCUGCCCAGGUCCCCCAACAUAAUCACACUCAGCCAUCCCCACUAAAAGUUGCAAUGCCUCUCAGUAAACAGGCAGCACAAACAACACGUUGAAUUUACAAAUAUUUUUAAGAGGGCAAAUGUCUUCCAAUCAUGUACCCUGAGUCUCCCGUUUCUGAGAUGUCCCCUGAAUCUCUGGGGCUCUCAAUGUUCCUGGCUCACUUGGCAAAGUGGAGCUCAGCAAGCUUUCCAACCUCUCAGGACCCUGCAGUUCUCUGGGCCACGCAAGACCUCUAUUAUCCAUCAGUGAUGCAGCUGAUCCCAGCACACG